CGGUGCUGGAGGCUUUUGCCCCAGCCAGCAGAAUCACUGUUUGACUGUGGUAAAAAGCAGAAAGCCCCGAGUAAUUUUUUCAAAUUAACCCGAGGCCCCUGAUGCUAGUCACAUUAAAGGUUAGCCUCUUACCUGCAAAAAUGCAAGGAGAAGAAGCCAUG
This is a non-coding RNA of Pantoea sp. PSNIH2, 161 nucleotides long. Lineage: Bacteria; Pseudomonadati; Pseudomonadota; Gammaproteobacteria; Enterobacterales; Erwiniaceae. The record is from Rfam.